AAAAGAUUGUGUUGUAUAUUGAGGAGUGAAGACUAGUAGUGUGUCUACUUGCGUAUGGUUUGUUAAUGUGAAAGAACAAUCUAUAGGUGAUUUGGGUGGUAGUUGUACACAAAGGAGUGGAGAUGGGAGAUGAAACUAGAUAUGGUUCAACUAGGUAUGUCUAUAAGCGUGAGGCAAAAUGGUUUUUUAGUGUUGUGAAGGAUGGCACCAAAGGAGAAGGAAUUAAUUGUAAAGCUGUGAGAGGUCUGAUCAUAAAGUAUUGAGAGAAGGGGAGUAGACCAAAAUGAAGGCAAGAGACAAUCUCUCAUUUUGGAAACGACAGCAAAGGGGGAAAGAUGAAGCCUAUGGGAGUU
This 353-nucleotide unclassified non-coding RNA is filed under the name Hevea brasiliensis (rubber tree). Lineage: Eukaryota; Viridiplantae; Streptophyta; Magnoliopsida; Malpighiales; Euphorbiaceae. The record is from RNAcentral.